This 381-nucleotide ribosomal RNA is filed under the name Demospongiae sp. GW3462. RNAcentral's name for it is "eukaryotic LSU rRNA". The record is from RNAcentral. Lineage: Eukaryota; Metazoa; Porifera; Demospongiae.
ACGAAUGCGGCUGAAGUGGCUCCCCGUCANGNUCAGGAGAUGUCGCGUGGGUCCCGCACGGCCCGCCGACCGCUCUGCACUUCUGCGGGGAGCCGGCCAACGGCAGUUGUCUCCGGCCCACGAGGGCGUCUGGGGAAGGUGGCUCCGCGCUUGCGUGGAGAACUUAUAGCCCGGCGUCUGGACGUUCCGGAGGCGACUGAGGAGAGUUGCGAGUCUUCGCACGUUGCGGCGCAGGCCUCCCCCGAGGCUGGGCCGCUUCCGUCCGGUGGGCGGCCGAGGCGGUCACUGCGUGCAGUGGCAGUCUACGGUUCUCGUCUCUCCGGGCGGGAUGUCGGUCGCACCUUGUGCCGCGGUCGUUGGUGCCCGAAUGGCCGCAUCCGA